ACCUCUUGUUCGGAUUAGCGCCGGCCUCGAGCAGGAUCCUCGCGACCUCGACGUGACGGUUCCGUAGGGCCAGGCGUAGCGGCUCAUCGCACAACAUAGUCCUGAAUCAAAAAAUGGCGAGAAUACAGAAUACUGACAAGUAUUUUAAAAGAUAUCGAUAGCUAUGGUCAUCAAUGACUACCAGUCGAUGCUACAAGUCGCACGACGCACCUGGGGAAAAGUUCCCCCGUGUCCUGCCGAUGAUCCACCUUGGCGCCAUACUUCAGCAGCAACUUCACCAGGUCCAGGUAGCCGUGCUCGGCGGCGAGAUGCAGGGCCGAGUAGCCGCACUCGUCGGUGGCGUCGAUGUCGGCG
Molecule: long non-coding RNA, 354 nt
Organism: Solenopsis invicta (red fire ant)
Lineage: Eukaryota; Metazoa; Arthropoda; Insecta; Hymenoptera; Formicidae
Exons: 2
Source: RefSeq, a predicted model, not a curated record